Molecule: long non-coding RNA, 464 nt
Filed under: Lupinus mutabilis
Lineage: Eukaryota; Viridiplantae; Streptophyta; Magnoliopsida; Fabales; Fabaceae
Description: partial ncRNA
Source: RNAcentral
CCAUACAAGUAUUCAUCUCCUCCACCACCACCAUACAAGUAUUCAUCUCCUCCACCACCACCAUACAAGUAUUCAUCUCCUCCACCACCACCAUACAAGUAUUCAUCUCCUCCUCCACCACCCUACAAGUACUCAUCUCCACCACCACCACCCUACAAGUACUCAUCUCCACCACCACCACCACCCUACAAAUACUCAUCCCCUCCACCACCACCCUACAAGUAUUCAUCCCCACCACCACCACCCUAUAAGUACUCAUCACCACCACCACCACCAUACAUGUACUCGUCCCCUCCUCCUCCACCCUACAAGUACUCAUCCCCACCACCACCACCCUACAAAUACUCAUCCCCUCCACCACCACCCUAUAAGUACUCUUCACCACCACCACCACCCUACAAAUACUCAUCACCACCACCACCACCCUACAAAUACUCAUCCCCACCACCACCACCAUACAAGUA